This 253-nucleotide ribosomal RNA is filed under the name uncultured bacterium. Its description in RNAcentral is "partial 16S ribosomal RNA". It matches the Rfam family "Bacterial small subunit ribosomal RNA", at positions 524 to 776 of the family's 1533-position model. The record is from RNAcentral.
UACAGAGGUCUCAAGCGUUGUUCGGAUUCAUUGGGCGUAAAGGGUGCGCAGGCGGCCAAGUGUGUUAGGCGUGAAAGCCUGGGGCUUAACCUCAGAAUUGCACCUAAAACUACAUGGCUAGAGCAUUGGAGAGGGUAGCGGAAUUCACGGUGUAGCAGUGAAAUGCGUAGAUAUCGUGAGGAACACCAGAGGCGAAGGCGGCUACCUGGACAAUUGCUGACGCUCAGGCACGAAAGCGUGGGGAGCAAAAGGG